AUUUCUACCUCUUCAUUUUCACACCAGAAGCAAAGACAAGCAGCCCCAAUUUUCCUCAACCAACGAUGCUGUCCCCUUCGAGUUUUCCUGAAAUUCUGUCCUUGAUUUUGGCAAAGCUCGAUGAAAACUCACCUAGUACGGUUAAAGAUGUGUCAAAAUGGCAUUUCUUCAUACAAAGUUUCGACAAGAGACCUCAAAAUGCUCGUCCAGCUCAACAUCUUAGUUAGCUGUUUCAGAAAGGUAAUAGCUGAUCUUGUUCAAAAUAUGCACAAAGGAAAAUGAUGCACCAUUUUAUGGAACCGUAUAAAGGAUUAACAUUUGGCGAGGAGCUGAGAGUUUGUUAAUUUCAUUCGAAGGAUGUAUUCAAGGUGGAAUGUAUUCUAGCCGUAGAACUUUUUAUUUUUGUUCUGUUAUAUGUGUUUUUCAUGUGUAUGCACAGUAACUAUAUGUUGUGACUAUGAAUUAUAAAAAUUUAUCAUAUCAUUGAUUGAGAUAUCUUUAGCUCUCUUUUAUUUUAAAUGAAUUU
Solanum stenotomum is the source of this 526-nucleotide long non-coding RNA. RefSeq lists it as uncharacterized. Lineage: Eukaryota; Viridiplantae; Streptophyta; Magnoliopsida; Solanales; Solanaceae. The transcript is spliced from 3 exons. The record is from RefSeq and is a predicted model, not a curated record.